UCUAUUUUACAGAUAGAAAUUGACAUAGAACCAACAGAUAAGGUUGAAAGAAUAAAAGAAAGAGUAGAAGAGAAAGAAGGAAUCCCUCCACCGCAGCAGCGAUUAAUUUUUAGUGGAAAACAAAUGAAUGACGAUAAAACAGCAGCUGAUUACAAAGUUCAAGGUGGUUCUGUUCUUCAUUUAGUCUUGGCACUCCGAGGUGGUCAUCAUCUAGUCAACUGACCGGUCGAACAUUAAUUAUGACUGACACUGAUCAAUUUCACAUACCUAAAUAGAAGUAAAUUCAGCAUACCAUAAUACAACAGUCAACAGCUCACCUUGCAGAAUAGUUUAGUUUUCAACCUAUCUUCUUGUGUCAGCACUUAGAGUAGAUUCCCAUGUACCGUUAGAUAAUGCUUUUGCAUCUAGUAGUAUUUAUAUAUAUGACACUAUUAUGUAGUCGACUUUUUUUUUGUUUUAUUUUACUGGCUGAGAUGAAAAAAAAAACUAACUACUUGAUGUUAUGUUUAAAAAAAUAAAAGAAAUACAGAUUUUGAUAAAAUAAAGGAUACUAGGUGGAUUUUUUGCUUACUGUGAAAUCUCGCGUAAUGCGUGAAAGACGUCGACUGAAAAAACAAAUGAUUUGAUUUUGUACUUAAAUUUCUUUUUUCAUACUUCAGUGUUGAAAUGCUGAACGUUCAGGGGGGGGGGGUAUCGCAUUCAAUUGAGAUGCCCAUACUUCUUCAAACUGACUGUGUAUGUGUAUAGCACGUUAUUCAGCUGGAAGGUGUUUUUAUGUACGAUUUCACAUAUAACGUAGAAUAUUGCAAUGAAUGGAAGGAAAUGAUGCAUCACUGACUCUCAUUUCUCUGUGUGUAAGUGAGUGUACUGUAAACUUACCUGCUACAAAUGUUUUUAACUUUGUCCUUUUAUGGGAUUAAAUUACAUGAAGCUCUGAUUAUCUGUGUCUAUAAAGAACUGGGAAUUGUCACGGCUUAAACCAGUUUUUCUGGUAUCCAAGCACUGUCUUGAGAUUUCCAAGAGGAAUUUGAAAAUGAUGCAUGUGUGUAGGACACAAAUACAAAUCAAGCUGUUGAAAAUAACUGGGAAUAAAAAAUGCAGAAAUUGUUGCAAAAUUA
Saccoglossus kowalevskii is the source of this 1118-nucleotide long non-coding RNA. The record is from RefSeq and is a predicted model, not a curated record. Lineage: Eukaryota; Metazoa; Hemichordata; Enteropneusta; Harrimaniidae.